UACAGAGGGUGCAAGCGUUAAUCGGAAUUACUGGGCGUAAAGCGUGCGCAGGCGGUUUUGUAAGACAGAUGUGAAAUCCCCGGGCUUAACCUGGGAAUUGCAUUUGUGACUGCAAGGCUGGAGUGCGGCAGAGGGGGAUGGAAUUCCGCGUGUAGCAGUGAAAUGCGUAGAUAUGCGGAGGAACACCGAUGGCGAAGGCAAUCCCCUGGGCCUGCACUGACGCUCAUGCACGAAAGCGUGGGGAGCAAACAGG
RNAcentral lists this ribosomal RNA (253 nucleotides) under uncultured bacterium. RNAcentral's name for it is "partial 16S ribosomal RNA". It matches the Rfam family "Bacterial small subunit ribosomal RNA", at positions 524 to 776 of the family's 1533-position model. The record is from RNAcentral.